UUUUUAUUUAUAUUUAUUUACAUAGACAAUCAUGUUGGAUUUUAUUUUUUAUUUUUAUUUGUAAAUACUAAAUUAAUUUUUAAUUUUAAUUUUAUUUUUAAUCGAUUCAGAUUUGAAAACAUAAGGCUAAAAUUUGUUUGUCAUGGAAAGAAUAUAACCCAUGAACCUCUAAGCAAGGUCAUAUAUGUUUUCAACACUAGACCAAC
This 206-nucleotide long non-coding RNA is filed under the name Lathyrus oleraceus (garden pea). RNAcentral describes it as "Pisum sativum (pea) long non-coding RNA (PSAT_LNC031619)". Lineage: Eukaryota; Viridiplantae; Streptophyta; Magnoliopsida; Fabales; Fabaceae. The record is from RNAcentral.